RNAcentral lists this ribosomal RNA (253 nucleotides) under uncultured bacterium. Its description in RNAcentral is "partial 16S ribosomal RNA". It matches the Rfam family "Bacterial small subunit ribosomal RNA", at positions 524 to 776 of the family's 1533-position model. The record is from RNAcentral.
UACGUAGGGACCGAGCGUUGUCCGGAUUCAUUGGGCGUAAAGAGCUCGUAGGCGGCUGUUCAAGUCGAACGUGAAAACUCGGAGCUCAACUCCGAGCCUGCGUUCGAUACUGGACGGCUAGAGUCUGGUAGGGGGAUCUGGAAUUCCUGGUGUAGCGGUGGAAUGCGCAGAUAUCAGGAGGAACACCGAUGGCGAAGGCAGUUCUCUGGGCCGUAACUGACGCUGAGGAGCGAAAGCGUGGGGAGCAAACAGG